GUGGAUUUCUUCAAAAUCAAGAAAAUUAUGGUGGAGGCAAUUCUUCUCUGUCUUCUUCUAUGAUGACAAGUACUAAUGAUAUGGUGAGGAACAAUGGGCUUCUUCAGGAUAUGAUUGCUCCAAUGGAGAUGGGAGGAGCUGGAGCCAAAGAAUGAAUAUGAAGCUGAAGAUGUAUGUUUGGUUAAUGAUACUUAUUUAUGGUAUUAAUUAAUUUGAUUAGUUUGACUUGUAUAUCAAUUAGUAUCUGAUAUUAAUUAGUAGCUGGUAAUUUAAGGUUAUUUAACUUAAUGAUGAUGGAAAAUUCCAAGUCUGUGCCGCUGAAGUGCUUUAAUUGUGUUUUGAAGGUUAUUUCUAGUGAAAGUGAAACCACACUUCGGCUGGCAUGUGUUCAUAUGAGACUUGAGACUUUUUAAUUAGAGUUUCCUUUAUUUAUAUGAUUAAUAUAUCAUGACUGUUAUCUUAUUAGAUUCUGGUGAUUUUGCUGCUUUUAACUUUUCUUGUUAAUUUCCUUCUAUGGGGUUAUUUAUUCCUGAUUGUAACUAGAUAUUUCUUUCCCAUUUUGGUACUUAGUUUUUUUUUUUUUUUUUCUUUUUAAAUUAGUUUAUCUAUUCUCCUUUUUUAUCAUGGCAUCACCAUUAACGGUUUGCAUUGUUUUGAUGGGUAGGAUUGUUCUUGUUCAUGGUGGAAAAAUUAACCAAUAUUUUUAGGGUUAGGGUUUUGCCUUAAUUGUUACAAUGCUUAGCUUGCAUGUUGUGAUCAAUCUCUUCUUUUCCAACUCUAUAGAGACUUUAUGGGGAAAGGGAGACAAGAUCACGUAAGUUGAUUAAUUAGAAGAGAUGAAAAUUAACUUUGUGUUAUGAUUGCCCCAUGACAUGACACAAUACAUUAAGUAUGAAAAAGCAAGCAACAUGAUUACAAGAGCAUAGCUAGUAGUACCGUUUAGCUUUUUGUAUAUGAUGGCCUUUUCUCAUCAUCUUACCCUAUAAGCUAUAUACGAAGAUGGGCUUCUACCAUUCAAUCAUGAUGUGUAUUUCCUAAGAGGGAAAUAGCAAGAGCAUGGCUCGUUUCUUGUUGAUGGCAAAAGGUAGAUGAUGUGAAUUGUGAUGAGAUAAGCUAUAUGGAUUGCCAGGACAUAUAUAUUUCUUCAUGCCCUAUUGCAUAGAAAUAGUAAUAGUAGUUAUUAGCAAGCAAAUUUUUUUUGAAAUAGUAAUAGUAGCAGAAGCCAUUCUCUAUAUACUAAUAUAAUUCCUUUCCUAGCUUGGGUAUUUUCAGCCCAAAUGAAUGCCCUUGGUUGUUGCCUGCAUAGUGUAAAUAUAUAAUAUGAAUAUAUACCCCUUAGUCUAAAGACCCUUAGUCAAUAGUUUAUUUACUAUAUUAAGUGAUUUGUCAAAAAAAAAGUUAGUAUUUAAGUGAUGGAAAUUAAAUUCGAGUCUGAGUUUGCUUCAUUUAACUACCCUUAUUUAUAUAUCUCAUGGUUUUUUUUGUCACAAACGUAUAUUACCUCGCCUUUUUGAGUCUGCUUGUAAAGAAAUACUUGAGUGGUCAUAAUCUCAAGUAAAAAUCAUUUGAGAGCACACAAAAAAUAUACAUAAUUUAAUUAUUUUAAACAUACACAUCCUUUAACUCUUUUUUCUGUUUUAUUUUUGUGAUCUAAAGCGUGUGCUUAAGUCCUGUGACUACACAAAACUAUCUCAGGUUUGUAUUAUGAGUGGUGUGUUUGAUCUUACGGUGUAUUAUUCGUGAGUAAUUUUGUUGACCAUUGGUAGAUUUUAGUUAAAUUUUUCUAUUGUUAUGUUUGUGGUUUAAAGUACCCCGGCUGCUUAAUAUAUUUGAUUAUUUACUGUUCAUCUUAUGUUCCAAUAUUAACAAGUGUCUCAAUGGAUCCUCUAAAAAAAUAAGUGUCUCAUUUGGAUAUCUAGCAUACAUAGUAACAUGUCAGUCUGCGCGAUCCAUGACAUUGAUAUUACUUGAAUUAAAAUUUAGGGGUUUCAUCGGUUUCUAAUUCUCGUUCAUACUAGAGAGGGAGAAACUUAAUUAACCUUAAAAGGUGAGAAAUACUCAUAGUAGGUGUAUGUUUUUUUGAAGGACAUGGUAGGUGUAUGUUAAAACUAACAUGGCACACAUAAAGUACUACAUAAAGUAUUUGGGGAUCAUAAAAGACAUAAAGUACAUAAUCGGUGAAAAGGCAAAACUGUGAAUUGUCAUAAUUUUUUCGUAAUUACUACUAAUUACUAGCUUAUACAAAUUCAAAUUUUAUGUACCAUUUCAAAUUCAAAUUUGUCAAGGAUUAUUUUAUAUGGAUGGAUAGUUAAAUUCCCGUGAUACAAAAUAUGGGGUGGGCACACAAAAUUUGAAAAUUAAAUAUUAUUUAUUUCAUGGAAUAUUUCAAUGAUGGUUGAGGAUCAAAAUAUUGCUAAUUAAUGUUUGUAACAUCCAAGAUAGAGUCAAUUGUUCAUAUUUGUUGAAUAAUUCAGCUGGCUGUUAGAGGUUUCCCAGAUUCUAAUUCUCUCCGUCUCUCAUUCAUACUAGGGAGAAACUUAAUUAAUUAACCUUAAGGUGAGAAAUAUUCAUAUAUUAUGUUAAAAACUAACAUGACACACAUAAAGUACUACAUAAAGUAUCAUUCAUUAAUUCAUACAUAAAGUAUUUGGGGAUCAUAAAAAGACAUAAAGCACAUAAUCGGUGAAAAGGUAAAACUGUGAAUUUAUCUUAGUAUGAACACAAUUGCACAUAAUAAUUAAAGGAGAAGAAUAAAAAUCAUUUCAAAAAAUGAAGAGGAUUUAGAUGUGAUGAACCUUUUAAUUGAUGCUAUUUUUCAACCGUGUGCUGCUGGUGAAUGCAUAUUCUCUGCAUGAAGCAUGACUUUUAUGGUAUUCUAAAACUUUACAGCCAUAUAUAUGUUCACAAAUUGCAAAAGGCACGCAACAGAAAAGUGUGGUAUCUAUUUGUAAUCCAACAGUUGAAGAGCCAAAUAAUUUGAUGCUAUAAAAGAAAUAAAGCAUCAAAGGAAUCAAAGGAAAGUGUGGAGGGAGGUUUAGUCAUUGUAUACAACCCGUAUGAUUCGUUGGAAUUGUAAUCAAGCAUCUUAAUCCAUCCAAACUCUAUCAAAGCUAGUACAAUGAUUUACUCAUUUAAUUAUGAUGUGAGUGUGACAUUUGAUAUUCUAGUAGACAUGAGAAGUGAGAGAAAA
RNAcentral lists this long non-coding RNA (3190 nucleotides) under Medicago truncatula (barrel medic). Its description in RNAcentral is "long non-coding RNA (MTRU_LNC002534)". The record is from RNAcentral. Lineage: Eukaryota; Viridiplantae; Streptophyta; Magnoliopsida; Fabales; Fabaceae.